GGAUUAGUGGCGAACGGGUGAGUAACACGUGAGUAACCUGCCCUUAACUCUGGGAUAAGCCUGGGAAACUGGGUCUAAUACCGGAUAUGACUCCUCAUCGCAUGGUGGGGGGUGGAAAGCUUUAUUGUGGUUUUGGAUGGACUCGCGGCCUAUCAGCUUGUUGGUGAGGUAAUGGCUCACCAAGGCGACGACGGGUAGCCGGCCUGAGAGGGUGACCGGCCACACUGGGACUGAGACACGGCCCAGACUCCUACGGGAGGCAGCAGUGGGGAAUAUUGCACAAUGGGCGAAAGCCUGAUGCAGCGACGCCGCGUGAGGGAUGACGGCCUUCGGGUUGUAAACCUCUUUCAGUAGGGAAGAAGCGAAAGUGACGGUACCUGCAGAAGAAGCGCCGGCUAACUACGUGCCAGCAGCCGCGGUAAUACGUAGGGCGCAAGCGUUAUCCGGAAUUAUUGGGCGUAAAGAGCUCGUAGGCGGUUUGUCGCGUCUGCUGUGAAAGACCGGGGCUCAACUCCGGUUCUGCAGUGGGUACGGGCAGACUAGAGUGAUGUAGGGGAGACUGGAAUUCCUGGUGUAGCGGUGAAAUGCGCAGAUAUCAGGAGGAACACCGAUGGCGAAGGCAGGUCUCUGGGCAUUAACUGACGCUGAGGAGCGAAAGCAUGGGGAGCGAACAGGAUUAGAUACCCUGGUAGUCCAUGCCGUAAACGUUGGGCACUAGGUGUGGGGGACAUUCCACGUUUUCCGCGCCGUAGCUAACGCAUUAAGUGCCCCGCCUGGGGAGUACGGCCGCAAGGCUAAAACUCAAAGGAAUUGACGGGGGCCCGCACAAGCGGCGGAGCAUGCGGAUUAAUUCGAUGCAACGCGAAGAACCUUACCAAGGCUUGACAUGGGCCAGACCGCCGCAGAAAUGUGGUUUCCCCUUUGGGGCUGGUUCACAGGUGGUGCAUGGUUGUCGUCAGCUCGUGUCGUGAGAUGUUGGGUUAAGUCCCGCAACGAGCGCAACCCUCGUUCUAUGUUGCCAGCACGUUAUGGUGGGGGACUCAUAGGGAGACUGCCGGGGUCACUUCGGAGGAAGGUGGGGACGAACGUCAAAUCAUCAUGGCCCCUUAUGUCUUGGGGCUUCACGCAUGCUACAAUGGCCGGUACAAAGGGUUGCGAUACUGUGAGGUGGAG
This 1173-nucleotide ribosomal RNA is filed under the name Arthrobacter sp. Its description in RNAcentral is "bacterial SSU rRNA". It matches the Rfam family "Bacterial small subunit ribosomal RNA", at positions 89 to 1267 of the family's 1533-position model. The record is from RNAcentral. Lineage: Bacteria; Bacillati; Actinomycetota; Actinomycetes; Micrococcales; Micrococcaceae.